RNAcentral lists this unclassified non-coding RNA (329 nucleotides) under soil metagenome. RNAcentral describes it as "partial contains 5.8S ribosomal RNA, internal transcribed spacer 2, and large subunit ribosomal RNA". The stretch from base 1 to 120 matches the Rfam family "5.8S ribosomal RNA", at positions 35 to 154 of the family's 154-position model. The record is from RNAcentral.
GAUGAAGAACGUAGCGAAAUGGGAUAAGUAAUGUGAAUUGCAGAAUUCAGUGAAUCAUCGAAUCUUUGAACGCACAUUGCGCCCCCUGGUAUUCCGGGGGGCAUGCCUGUCCGAGCGUCAUUACAACCCUCAAGCUCAGCUUGGUGUUGGGCCCCGCCGCCCCGGCGGGCCCUAAAGUCAGUGGCGGUGCCGUCCGGCUCCGAGCGUAGUAAUUCUUCUCGCUCUGGAGGUCCGGUCGUGUGCUCGCCAGCAACCCCCAAUUUUUUUCAGGUUGACCUCGGAUCAGGUAGGGAUACCCGCUGAACUUAAGCAUAUCAAUAAGCGGAGGA